Camelus dromedarius (Arabian camel) is the source of this 1651-nucleotide long non-coding RNA. RefSeq lists it as uncharacterized. The transcript has 7 exons. Lineage: Eukaryota; Metazoa; Chordata; Mammalia; Artiodactyla; Camelidae. The record is from RefSeq and is a predicted model, not a curated record.
CCGACGCCCCGCAGCUCCCCUGAGGCUGCUGCUGUGGUGGCGGCGGCGGCGCGGUCCCUCCGGGAGGAGCGGCGUGGGCCGGGCGGCGGCCGCGGAGUGUUGAGCCCAGCACGGCGGCAGCAGUGGAGACGGCGGCAGGCGCGGGCCCCAAGCUGGUCCGCGGGCAGGUGUUCGACGUGGGGCCGCGCUCCAGCAGCCUCAUCCGCGAGGGCUCCUACUGCGUGGUGUGAUUUCCAGCUGUCUUCAAGGCUUGAUCAGACUCAGAGUAAGGAUGUUUGCUGAGACCCGAGUCUCCUACAAUCGCUGUAUAUAGUGCCAGACAUUGGAACCAUCCAGACUCAGAACCACCUGGGCCACCAGGAGUAAAACCUCAGAGUGUCACAGUGAGGCUGUCUUCAAAGGAACCAAAUGAAAAAGAUGAUGGAGUUUUUAAGGCUCCUGCACCACCACCCAAAGUGAUAAAAACUGUGAUAAUACCUACUCAGCCCUACCAAGAUGUAGUUACUGCACUGAAAUGUGGAAAAGGAGACAAAGAAGUAGGCAACUAUGUGCAGUUUUACUGCACUUAGAUAGAAUUUUGUGUGUUAUCCAGCCUUUUAAUGUCCUGAACACACAUUAGUACCCUGGUUCUCAACUUUGAACCACGAACUUAUCCUACUACUACCAAUGUUUUACAGCAUUUCUUUUGGUUGCCAUCUGAUAAAUAGAGCCCAGGAAGCCCACAGAUUUAAAUACGCUACUUCAGAGUUACAAGGAAGGGGACUUUUGUUUCCUUGGCGGUUAUAUACUGUUGUUCAGGAUUUGAAGCACUUCAGUGAUGUGGUGGAAUUUGGUGAAACUGAGUACUUGUUAAGUGGCUUGAAGAGCUCUCGGGCCUCUAAACACACUUUGCCUUAGGAGUCUGGUACAGGGCAAUGCUAUUCAGGAUAAAAAAGUAAUGGAAGACACAGUUCCUGCGUUGAAGAGGUUACUGUGUUGGGAGAUGAAUGAUACAUACACGAAACAACUGGGGAAAACACCAGGCUGGAUAAAAUCAAGUGUUCGGGUGCUUGGUUCAGACUGCAAGCACUGUAGAAUUUCAGAAGCAAGAAAGAUCACACAAGAAGAGAAAUCAAAGAGCAGUUACUCUGAAAGGUGUCUACUGACGUGUGACCACUAUGGUUGGUGCUUGGGCCUUGAUUCAUGCAGGCCCCUUGGAAGAAUGUCUCCCUGGCGCUUUCUGGACUGCUGGCCUUUUCUGCUAAUUUCCUGCCACUCUCAAGCAUGGGCAGCAGGAAACUUGUGAUGAAGCCACUGUGGAAAACAGUAUGGAGAUUCCUCAAAAGACUAGGAAUAGACUUAACAUAUGACCCAGUCAUCCCGCUUGUGGGCAUAUAUCCAGAAGGAACCCUACUUCAAAAAGACACCUACACCCCAAUGUUCAGAGCAGCACUAUUUACAAUAGCCAAGACAUGGAAACAGCCUAAAUGUCCAUCGACAGAUGACUGGAUAAAGAUGUAUAUUUAUACAAUGGAAUACUAUUCAGCCAUAAAAACCGAUAACAUAACGCCAUUUGCAGCAACAUGGAUGUUCCUGGAGAAUGUCAUUCUAAGUGAAGUAAGCCAGAAAGAGAAAGAAAAAUACCAUAUGAGAUCGCUUAUAUGUGGAAUCU